This 313-nucleotide ribosomal RNA is filed under the name uncultured bacterium. RNAcentral's name for it is "bacterial SSU rRNA". It matches the Rfam family "Bacterial small subunit ribosomal RNA", at positions 29 to 369 of the family's 1533-position model. The record is from RNAcentral.
AACGAACGCUGGCGGCAGGCCUAACACAUGCAAGUCGAGCGCCCCAGCAAUGGGGAGGCGGCAGACGGGUGAGUAACGCGUGGGUAUCUACCUAGUGGUGCGGAAUAGCCCAGGGAAACUUGGAGUAAUACCGCAUAAGCCCGAAAGGGAAAGAUUUAUCGCCAUUAGAUGAGCCCGCGUUGGAUUAGCUAGUUGGUGGGGUAACGGCCCACCAAGGCGACGAUCCAUAGCUGGUCUGAGAGGAUGAUCAGCCACACUGGGACUGAGACACGGCCCAGACUCCUACGGGAGGCAGCAGUGGGGAAUAUUGGAC